Molecule: non-coding RNA, 21 nt
Filed under: Arabidopsis thaliana (thale cress)
Lineage: Eukaryota; Viridiplantae; Streptophyta; Magnoliopsida; Brassicales; Brassicaceae
Source: RNAcentral
UGAUAAUAUGGUGAAUGGUUA